Molecule: long non-coding RNA, 2941 nt
Organism: Solanum lycopersicum (tomato)
Lineage: Eukaryota; Viridiplantae; Streptophyta; Magnoliopsida; Solanales; Solanaceae
Source: RefSeq, a predicted model, not a curated record
UCUAAAAUCCUCUCACAAGUCUUAAUGGUAAUAAAAUGAACCCUGAAUAGCUGGCAAGAUCAAGUGUAAUCAUAACGAAUAGUCAAUCUAUUAAUCCAAGGUUCAUGGAGAGUGUAUGUUAAAUAAUGUAAGACUCUCUACUUUGAAAUUUGAACAAAUCCAGCCAGUUCAACGCACAUCAAUUCAAAGAGGUAAAUAAAAUCAGGUGCUGAAACAUUCUCCCUUUACUAGACUUCAAGAUUUCCACUGGAAAUAAUUCAAGUUUGUUCAUGAUAAUCCAUGUGAGAAAUAUGAAGAAGAAAACAAUAUGAAUUGCUGAACAAUUAAAUGUGGCAAUAUAUGCCACUAUCAUUUGUAGAAGAUAAAAAAAUGUUUAUAGAGCACAAGGACUAAAUGAAUUUAUGAAGACCAAUGUUAUUGACAUGCUUAUUAUAUGUAUAAUUCUUCAAAAAAAUAUAACAUGACUACUUUAAAAAUAAACACAAUAUUAAUCUUUUAUCCAACAAAAGAUAUGCAAUAGAGGACUUCACCUUUUCACAUAUUAAAAAAAAAUAGUAAUAGUAUAACUUGUACUACACUUCUUUAGUACUAGUACUGCACUAAAUUCUUUUUAAACAUUAAAAAAAUGCAUAAAACCUUUCCCUUUUUAUUUUUUUUUAAAAAAAAUCAUUGAUGUACUGCAAACCCUUUCAACUCUUCAAGAAAGAUAUUGUACUGGAAUAUUAUUUCUUCUUUCAGUUUACAUUAGAACAAUCAUCUUUUUCAUAAUAAAGAAAAAUAAAUCCUCAAAUUCCUAAAAAAAAAAAAAGCAAACCCACAAAACUAUGGAGAAACAAUUUUUUUCAAGGCAUGUUGUUCAAAUGAACAACGGAGAAAAUAAAUAUAUUAGUCGUUUACAAAUCAGAUCAAUGGAAUAAUCGUAACACAUCUAAUUUUACAUCAAAAGAUGGCGAGUUCAAUUCUCAUCGGAUCUACAUCCAAUUUGAUUUUAUCUACUUAUAUGUCUUAAAGAUAUUUCUAGCUAAAUUCAGCAACAGAGGAGGAGGGUGAGAUUCGUACACUUGUUGUAUAUAAUGGGAGUGCAUCUAGAAUAAAUUGCAUUGGGCUUCAAGUUUAUCCUGUAUAAGAGUUUGAAUCUGGCGAAGGUUUAUCAUAGUCUCUUGUAGAAUUGCCAAAUGUGGAUGAUAAGUGCAGUUGGGAGGCUGGACAAAGAGCUACAGGUUUAGGCACCUUGAAGGAUAGAUAUUUAUAUCUUCUAGAGCGUUUUCAGGCUCCAAAAGAUGGACCGAAAAAUGCUUUUAGAAGUAAGAUUUCAGUGAAAAAGUAUUUCAACUCUUAGUAUCCUCGUAUGAAUAUCAACAAAUUAUUGGCUUCAAUCAGCUAGGUGAUUCCCUCUAUGCACUCAAAGAGCCAGAAAGGUUAUCUUCGAUAAGGCUCUUUGGUAUAUAUCAUGUAGAGAUAUAUUCGGUUAUUUGCAUCAAUUAAACAAGAACUUCAUUCUUUUAUAUACAUAUUUAAUUUAAUUAAGAAAUAAAACAUAUGACUACAUCUGUCGAGACCAAAUUAACCCUAUACUGUCUUAUUCUCCUACCAGAGCUACUUAUAAUGAUGGUCACAUAUGUUGUAGAGGUUUGAUAGUCACUCAAGGUAAGUUUGGUAAACCUGAAGAUGAAUUUGAUACUUCUUCUACAUUCCUCAGGCAUGCUUGAAUUUUGCGAAAAUUUCAAUUAAGGUUUGAUUAUUCUUCCUCUUGUAGAAAAUUUCUUCUUUUCCAAACAUAGAAGUUAAUAAAUACUACAGAGUUUGAUUUUAAUAAAUACUUCGGAGUUGGAUUAGAUAGAGCAGGUGGUAGUGGUAAACCUUCCCUCCUAGUUUGUGAUCCACUUGCAUCAACUCGUGGGCUAGAGCUAGCACCAAACGGAAGAGCUAUGAUAUUUCUGUCAAGGGAUCAUGUAAUACUACCUCUCCCUCCUUGUUAUCCUAAAACACUUUAUAUAGAGGGACUUCCAGCGGACAACUCCAGAAGAGAAGUAGCUCAUAUUUAUUUAUAUGUCAUUUACUGAAUAAUUUUUAGUUUCUGAACAUAUUUGUUGCUUUUUCCCUACUACACUUUAUAGAUAUUUGAGAACAAGCAUAAAAUAUAAUGAUUCAGUAAAUUACAUCUCAAAGGACAUGAGUAACUUCUCUUCUCAAGAAGUACGGAGGAAGUCCCUGUAUUUAAAAGGUAUUAAAUGCACCAGGAGGUAGAUGUAGUAUUUCACGAUGCAUCGACAUAAAUGCCAUAGAUCUUUCAUUUGGUGCUAGCUCUUUCCCACGAGAUGAUGGAAGUGGAUUACGAACAAGAAGGGAAGGUGUACCACCACCACCUUCCAUAGCUAAUCGAUCUCCCUUGUAGUUAUUAGCUUCUACGUCUCAAAACCAAAAAAUUUGUUAAAAAAGGAGGAAGAUCCAAAUUAGCACAAAAUUCAAGCAUGCCCGAAAAGUGUAGGACCAAUGUUAGCCUUUUCUAGAGACCAUGCUUUUUUUUAUUUGCUGCAUUGUGCCUAGUUUUUCAAAGACUAUUGUUGUAACCUUAGUUGUAAGCUUAUCAAUUUAGACUAAGAUGCUACAUUUAUAAUAGAUGUGAGGCAACAGUGGAUGGCUACAUAUGUGGGCAUGUUUCCCAUCUAGACUAGGCUCAACAAGUUUACAUGGAUGGGACAUUCAAAUGAAGCAUCAAUUUGGAUCCAGAGUAUUUUUUUCAAUACUAUGAUAAAAAUACGCAUUUUGUUUCACAAGUAGUGCAGCUUUAAUGAAUUUACAAAUUUCUUAAUUCUCGUGUUGACAUCGAAAAGAUGUUGAAUGUUGGCAUAUGUAUUUUGGGUGGCUCACAAAAAUGAAUGUAAAAGAGUUGUUGCAUCGUAUAGAAUCAAUAAAGGAAAAGUUAUAGCUAGUUGAUGAA